CAAAUUAGAGCUUGGUUAAGCAUUUUAUUUACAUUAAAAAGUUAGUUGUUAAUACAAUUUAAUUUGA
RNAcentral lists this transfer RNA (67 nucleotides) under Impressosora ruficollis. RNAcentral's name for it is "Eutrapela ruficollis tRNA-Val". Lineage: Eukaryota; Metazoa; Arthropoda; Insecta; Coleoptera; Tenebrionidae. The record is from RNAcentral.